UGCUCUUCUCCGUUAAGGCACCGCGGCGGGACAGGGACGACGUUCGACACCCACAUCGGAAGACCUGCUCGCAAUUUCUAGUGUCGGGCUGCGGAACUAGACGAACCUCGGCCGAUGCCAAGGUGAGCUUCUCCCACUUAAUUCCUUCUUCCCACCCGCACCAGGUCUUGAUUUCUGCUCCGAGGGCAAUUGAUUGAAGCUACAACUCAAGAAAUUUCCUUAUUCUAAUCUAACUUUAGGUUCGAAUUCCUAAUGACCAGAAUCAAUGAAUACUAUUUGUGCUAAUACUAAAUUCUAGAGACGCAUGCUAAUUCUUAUACAUACGUAAUAAAAAAAGACAUCGAUCGCAAAAUCAUGAAAGAUUUCAAAUGGAGUUUUAUUUCAUUCUCCACAUCAAUUUCCUCUGACUGCGCAAGUUUAGUUUGCUAACGUGGUCUGCUGGCAUCCCUUCGGGGACAUGGAAUAAAAUCGGAACAAAACUUGGUCUGCUGGCCAUUUCGGCCUCAUCGGGCCGACGCAUGUUUGUAGAGGGUCAACAUGUGUGCUUUUCAGAAAGGGAACUAUCGGGUGUUUUUGCCGAUCCGCUGAUCUGGAGAUUUUCAUAAUGCGGUAAAGUUUUGGAGUGGCUCUAGCUGGCUUAUUCAGUAUCGAGAAAAACAAUACGAGUUACUUGUAGAUUGAUAUCAGAUGGAAUUUUGGGGCCUUGCAAUUUAUUUCAUGUUUGCUUGCAAAAAAGCUAGGUGUUUCAUAUAUUUAAUAAUCUGAUUAGUCAAAUUCUAAGUUAAAAUAAAUGGUGGGGUUCCUAAGGGACAAAAGAUGGGGUAUAAAUUGGGUAUCAUGUGUUAUAUUUGAUGGCUUAAUUGCGAAUGUAAAUGACCAUUUUUCCCCUAAUCAGAACAGUGGUAGUAUCAAGCAUAGGAUGACAUGUUAGACAACAAAAUAAUAUCCUUCUUCUAGUUAAAUCAUCAUGUUUAGUACAAGUUUUAGUAUUUAACUCAGGUUAUGUUGCUGUACAACUGCAUCAUCUCUAACUAAAAAAUGUAAAGUCAAUCACAUUUUAGGCAUAUAUUCAAAUUUUAGACUGCUGAUACGAUUCGAUAGACAAAAUGAAGAACACCACCCUUUUCUAGUUAUUGGGACAUUAAAAUUUGUUCCAAGGUCGAUGUUAUGCAUGGCCAUACAUCCAGCUUCCAACUUUUUUUUGUUACCAUAAAAUGUGUCACCCCCUCCAGGAUUUACUGUAUCACAAGUGUCAUGGCAUCAGAGAGUUUGCCGAAUCACCCAUGUGGUCUUGGUCCCUCUUCCCUGCGGCAGGUGAAACUCUAGCUCAAAUCCUCCUGCAGCAGCGAUAGUGCUUUCUUUCUUUCAUAUCACUAUGUUUUUUUUCCUUAUUUAUUAAACGUUUAUGUAGUGUUCUAGUCAUAUCUGUACUUUGGUGGCCUCUAGAAAGGACCAGAACAGUAUAACCUUUUGUCAUUGGCAGUGCUUAAUGCUGUGAGUGGAAUUAUAUCGUUGUAUCCGCUCUAGCAUGAAGCACUUUGNNNNNNNNNNNNNNNNNNNNNNNNNNNNNNNNNNNNNNNNNNNNNNNNNNNNNNNNNNNNNNNNNNNNNNNNNNNNNNNNNNNNNNNNNNNNNNNNNNNNNNNNNNNNNNNNNNNNNNNNNNNNNNNNNNNNNNNNNNNNNNNNNNNNNNNNNNNNNNNNNNNNNNNNNNNNNNNNNNNNNNNNNNNNNNNNNNNNNNNNNNNNNNNNNNNNNNNNNNNNNNNNNNNNNNNNNNNNNNNNNNNNNNNNNNNNNNNNNNNNNNNNNNNNNNNNNNNNNNNNNNNNNNNNNNNNNNNNNNNNNNNNUUGGUAAUAUAUCCUAUGUCUAUCUGAAUUUGUCCAUCCAAGUUUGAUGAGUCAAGAGACCAGGGCACAUCUUGAUACUAAUUUCAGAAAUACUACAAUACUGAGAUGACUUAUUGAAGGAUGCUUCUAGCUAGAUCAUGUGCGAUUGAAAAGUGCAUUUCCCCUCAUAGUAGCCUUUCUGACUAACAUAUUUAUCAUACAACCUCCGUUCCUAAAUAAGUGUCUCAAGCUUAGUAGAACUUUGCACUAAAGUUAGUACAAAGUUGAGACACUUAUUUUGGGACGGAGGGAGUAUAUGCUAGUGGUGUAGCCUGCAGUUAAGAUAAUCUGAAACUUUUUUUUUCCUCGAGUGAUGCAGGAGAGUUGCCUGUGAUGAUUUAUAAGAAGGGAAAUAGUACAAGGAGAGGCCAGAGGUCAACACCUAGAGAUGUCAAAUUACAGACCUGACAUGAACGAAAAAUAAGUCAACCUUGACCACACACACCCUAUUCUAAGAACCAGGGAUAAGCUACCUGAUGUGUAGCUCGUGGAGGGCUGAAGCACCAGCCAAACACCACAAGCCACUCUCAUAAGCAAUUGCCUGUAACACAACCGGAAAUCCAGAAUACAAGGCCUAGUGCCUUCAAGGACACAUGCAUUGCCGGUUUCUGCACUUUGAGUCAGCGGGCUCCGGUGACGCAAGAACAGCGCCAGCAAGACUUGCAGCUGAGAGGUAUGGCUAAAUCCUUCGUGCUGGCAGCAAUCACAGCGGUCAGUGCGAUCAAGCUAGGGCCAGGGAAGAACAUGUCCACGAGCACACCACUGAAAUUUGGCCAGGAGGGAGAGGGUUCCAACAACAACAAAACCCCUCUCCCCUCGGACCAAUUCAACAUGCUGCAGAUAUGGUGGCCGGCCGUGGGUUCGGGCUGGUUCCGACGUACGGCGGCUUGGUCAUGGCUACUGCCCCUGCUGCAACCCUGGCAGAUCCUAUGAACCAAGGUGCAAGUGCAGUUGCCCAGGCGUCGAACGUGGACGUGGUACUGAAACCUGCUGCUGCUGUACCUACCACAACUUUGACAGCGGCAGUGGGUUCAGAAACAGGCGCGCCUGCUGUUGGUCGCAUAACUGAAGCGAGCACUAUGCUCCCGGUAGCAAAUUCAGCAAUGUUGGUAGUGGUGGGGAACAAGCAGAUGGAUGGGAUCUACAUCGACAAAGGCCCUGCGACGCACCUUUUUGUCGCAGGUUCCGACUGCAAGACAGAAGAGGCAGUCAAGAUAUCUGGAAAGAAUAUGAAGAAAAAGGGUACAGAGCAGGGUGUGGUCAACAUUGUAUCAGUUCUGGGCAAGAGAGGGGACAGGGUACAGGAAGGGGUACAUGAGUCACUUCUGAAGGGGGAGGUAUGUAACUAGAGGUUGUUAGUAAGAAGAAGAGUACUAGUCCAGAGGGAGGAGAGAGGAGCAACGAGCUGUUGGAGACCUGACGGUCGCUGAUGAUGACGGCCGUCAGGAGUAAAAUACUCAGCUGGAACUGCCGGGUUUAGGCCAACCCUGGACAGUUCAGGAAUUGGCGUGCCUUGUGAGCACACACCGUCCCUCGACCGUCUUCGUCUCUGAAACUAGGCAGAAUAAGGAUAUAGUUAAAAACCUUAGAUGGAGGCUUGGCCUCAAGAACUGCUUGCUGCAUAACGGCAAGGGCAAAGUUGCCGGUAUCGCCUUGUACUGGGAUGACUCAGUUGAAAUAAUGAAAUUAUCAAUUGGCCCGAGGUAUAUUAAUGUUCUUGUGCGAAAUAAUCCUUGUGAUGAUUGGUGGAGGGGUACCUUGGUGUAUGGAGAACCGAAAGCCCAUGAAAGACACCACAUGUGGGAUUUGCUUGCAAGAAUAAAACCGAACGCAUGGGAGCCAUGGUUUAUGAUUGGCGAUUUCAAUGAAACAAUGUGGCAAAGCGAACACUUUUCUUCAGCCAAGAGAUCUGAAAACAAUAUGGCUAAUUUCCUUGACAUUCUCUGGGCGUGUGACUUGCAUGGUUUAGGUUUCCGCGGACCGAGUUGGACUUAUGAUAAUAAACAAUCUGGGAGCAACAAAGUAAGAGACAGAAUUGACCGAGGGGUAGCUUCUCCAGAAUGGAGCAAACGGCUUCCCAACGCUAGCAUCCAACAUGUAGUCUCAACUAGAUCAGAUCAUUUCUCACUCUUGCUGCAACUUGGUAAACAUACUGUAUACAGAAGGAAGAAAAUAUUCAGAUAUGAAGUUAUGUGGGAGAGAGGAAUCCCUUGCGGCCACGGUGAACAAUGGCUGGAAUCAGGCGGACAAGGCCACGACGUUGGAACCAGUACAGGCCAAGCUGGGCGCCAUGCAACGCAACCUCAGUAGGUGGAGCGCUUCGUGUUUCGGUUCGGUCAAUCGCCGGAUCAAGGAUCUCCGAAAGAAAUUAGAGCAGUUGAUGGGGGCGCCGCAAACUGCAGAAAAUGAUAGAAAGAUAUAGAUGAGGUACUUCUUCGGGCCGAGAUAAUGUUGCGGCAACGUUCGAGAGCCACAUAUCUAAGAGAGGGAGAUAGGAAUACAGAGUGGUUUCACCAGCAAGCAACAUGGAGGAAGAAACACAACACAAUUUGCAAACUGAAGAAUGAAGAAGGAAAGUGGAUUGAGAAGAGAGAGGACUUACACAAGAUGGGGAAGAAAGAGUCCACAACUAGGAUCUAGCGGGUGGGCAAGGUUGCCUUGGUGAAACUCUUGACGACAAAGUCGUUGCAGCACAUCCGCGAUAAGGAUGAGAAGGUAUGGUAACAUAGGAUCACCUUGUCGGUUGUCGCAGUCCGCUUCUACACUAAAGGACAUCCCCAAGCUGGCCGUUGAUUAACACACGAGAUGUGCUAGUGCAGAGUAAUUCUUUAAUCCAAUCUAUCCAUCUUUUUCCAAAGCCUCUCGCUUCCAGAAUUUUUUGGUGGCAUGGUUUCUCAAGGAAAACUCUAAAGCAGAAAGCCUCCUCCUCUCCUCAACGGCAUUGAGAUAAUCCAUAACAUGUUUGUUAUUGCUGGGACGUGUUUGUAGUGGUUUCAUAGUCCGAGUCCACUUUGUGAUUGCAGCCCGCAUGCGCCUCAUUUUAAAACUAAUGCAUGUUCAUUUAGAAGCCAGCGGCCUGUGACCCCUAUUCCAGCAGUCCCAGAUGAUAUGCUUUACUUCUUCCGUCUGGAGCUAAUGAUUCUCAAAACGAUAUAAAUUACAGCGAGGUAACUCCUUGUUAAAAUCCACAGCAAUAGGAGUGUGACCUGAAGUUGUGGCCUGAAUAGCAUGAGCUGUUGUCUGAAAGAAAUCCAGAUUCCAUGUAAUUCACCGGGACCCUAUCCAGCUUGAUUAAGGUAGGAUGUUGCCUUUUAUUCGGCCAUGUGAAGCUCCUGUUUGUUACUGAUGUCAAUGUCCAUAUCCUGUUCUCUAAUCCAUUCAUUAAAAGCUUCCAUGACAGACCAAUUGACUCUUCCCCUUGAUUUUUCAUUUGCAAAUCUGUACAUAUUGAAGUCUUCAAGAAUAAUCCGUGGGCCAUCAACCAUAGCUUCAGCUUGUUCCAUGACAUGGAAGAACUCAUCUUUGUCCUCCACAUACAUUGCAUGGUGCAUAAACAGUGGUGAGGUAAGCAGUAACAUUGCUUGUGGCAGAGCACAUCUUGAUUGAGAUGAAGAAGUGGUGCUUUGCUAGCUCUCUGCAAGACACAGUGGACCGAUCCCAGGCGACCAUGAUGCUCCCUGCCGAUGCCGACCCAGUUGCAGGCAUAGUAACAUAAGAUAUCUGUACCUACAAAGUACAUCUCUACAAAUAAUUCACUCAUUUCAAAUGAUACUUCAAUCUGCAUGUUGUUUGCAAAGCUCUAUUUUUAAUUUAUCAAGCUUUACUAUGCUUUAAAUUAUACCAGUACUAUAUUUGAUGUGUGUCCAAGUUACCAGCUAUGGUAUUCAUCUUCUUUCUCCUUUUUUUGGUGGGUUUUAUUUUGAUGAGCAGAAACAGCCACCCUACCAUGUACUCAGGAAAGGAACAUGCUUGGUUCUUCUAUCUAUAUUGUUUCUGUAGCUUAUAUACUUCAGGUUUUCACUAUUAUAGUGUUGUGUCCCUUCCGAGAAAGCCAUGGAAACCAUGGUGUGCUUCGUGCACUGCUACCUUAGUAGUUGGCCUUCAAAAAGGGACCAAGAUAUAUGUUCAUCGUAAUUAAGCUAAUAUUUUCUGAUUCUCUUUUGUUCCAUUUUCAGUCCAUAAACUGCAUUUCCAGUGGGAGAGGGAGGUAUAAGUGCGAGAGGUACCCGUCCAUCCAACGUCCUCUGUGUUGUUUGCUCUGUCUGUGCGCCUGUGCGCAAUUUGUGGCUGCCGCUUCGUUGCCAUUUUCCCUUAUUUUUUUACCUGAGAGAUAAAUAAGGAAGCAAGGAGAGGCUAAUUAACUGGUGGGACAGUCAGGUAACUGAAGUAUAGUAGAGCCUCUUCAGUAAGAGAACAUAUAGGGAUUCUCCUUUUUUUUUAUAGCCUGCACUAGAGGCUGUAGAGUUAAGUUUGUACAUUUUGCGAAAUUGUAUUGUUCCAGCUUCUCUUAUUAUACACUUUAACUGUCAGGUUAUUUACUAUGUGCAUAUUUCCUUUUGGUGUUGCUAAUCGUGCCAUAAAUCUACUUAUUGAUC
Molecule: long non-coding RNA, 6479 nt
Filed under: Triticum aestivum (bread wheat)
Lineage: Eukaryota; Viridiplantae; Streptophyta; Magnoliopsida; Poales; Poaceae
Description: long non-coding RNA (TAES_LNC028144)
Source: RNAcentral